AGAGUUUGAUCAUGGCUCAGAACGAACGCUGCGGCGUGCCUAACACAUGCAAGUCGUACGCAGUAGCAAUACUGAGUGGCGCACGGGUGAGUAACACGUGGGUAAUCUACCUUACUGUUUGGGAUAACCGGCCGAAAGGCUGGCUAAUACCGGAUAAGACCACGGAUCCUUCGGGUUCUGUGGGAAAAGCUGGGGAUCUUCGGACCUAGCGCAGAAAGAUGAGCUCGCGUCCCAUUAGCUAGUUGGCGGUGUAAUAGACCACCAAGGCGACGAUGGGUAGCUGGUCUGAGAGGAUGAUCAGCCACACUGGCACUGAAACACGGGCCAGACUCCUACGGGAGGCAGCAGUGGGGAAUAUUGCGCAAUGGGCGAAAGCCUGACGCAGCAACGCCGCGUGAGUGAUGAAGGUCUUCGGAUCGUAAAGCUCUGUCAGCAGGGAAGAAACCUAUGUGAUCUAAUAAAUCAUGUAAUUGACGGUACCUGCGAAGGAAGCACCGGCUAACUCUGUGCCAGCAGCCGCGGUAAUACAGAGGGUGCGAGCGUUGUUCGGAAUUAUUGGGCGUAAAGAGCGCGUAGGUGGUUUGCUAAGUCUGGUGUGAAAGCCCUCGGCUUAACCGAGGAAGUGCAUUGGAUACUGGCAAGCUUGAGUGUGAGAGAGGAUUGUGGAAUUCCUGGUGUAGCGGUGAAAUGCGUAGAUAUCAGGAGGAACACCGGUGGCGAAGGCGGCAAUCUGGAUCAUAACUGACACUGAGGCGCGAAAGCGUGGGUAGCAAACAGGAUUAGAUACCCUGGUAGUCCACGCCGUAAACGAUGGAUGCUAGGUGUUGCAGGCUUCAACCCCUGCAGUGCCGUAGCUAACGCAUUAAGCAUCCCGCCUGGGGAGUACGGUCGCAAGACUAAAACUCAAAGGAAUUGACGGGGGCCCGCACAAGCGGUGGAGCAUGUGGUUUAAUUCGACGCAACGCGAAGAACCUUACCCAGACUUGACAUCCUAGGAAUCCUGCGGAAACGUGGGAGUGCUCUUCGGAGAACCUAGAGACAGGUGCUGCAUGGCUGUCGUCAGCUCGUGUCG
Molecule: ribosomal RNA, 1072 nt
Filed under: uncultured bacterium
Lineage: Bacteria
Description: bacterial SSU rRNA
Rfam family: Bacterial small subunit ribosomal RNA
Source: RNAcentral